AUUGAACGCUGGCGGCAGGCCUAACACAUGCAAGUCGAGCGGAUGAAGGGAGCUUGCUCCUGGAUUCAGCGGCGGACGGGUGAGUAAUGCCUAGGAAUCUGCCUGGUAGUGGGGGAUAACGUCCGGAAACGGGCGCUAAUACCGCAUACGUCCUGAGGGAGAAAGUGGGGGAUCUUCGGACCUCACGCUAUCAGAUGAGCCUAGGUCGGAUUAGCUAGUUGGUGGGGUAAAGGCCUACCAAGGCGACGAUCCGUAACUGGUCUGAGAGGAUGAUCAGUCACACUGGAACUGAGACACGGUCCAGACUCCUACGGGAGGCAGCAGUGGGGAAUAUUGGACAAUGGGCGAAAGCCUGAUCCAGCCAUGCCGCGUGUGUGAAGAAGGUCUUCGGAUUGUAAAGCACUUUAAGUUGGGGGGAAGGGCAGUAAGUUAAGACCUUGCUGUUUUGACGUUACCAACAGAAUAAGCACCGGCUAACUUCGU
This 483-nucleotide ribosomal RNA is filed under the name uncultured bacterium. Its description in RNAcentral is "partial 16S ribosomal RNA". It matches the Rfam family "Bacterial small subunit ribosomal RNA", at positions 30 to 506 of the family's 1533-position model. The record is from RNAcentral.